Molecule: ribosomal RNA, 253 nt
Filed under: uncultured bacterium
Lineage: Bacteria
Description: partial 16S ribosomal RNA
Rfam family: Bacterial small subunit ribosomal RNA
Source: RNAcentral
UGCGAAGGGUGCAAACGCUGCUCGGAAUUAUUGGGCGUAAAGCGCACGUAGGCGGCUUUGCAAGUCGGAUGUGAAAGCCCUCGGCUCAACCAAGGAAGUGCAUCCGAAACUGCAGAGCUUGAGUACUUAAGAGGAUCGCGGAAUUCCCGGUGUAGAGGUGAAAUUCGUAGAUAUCGGGAGGAACACCAGUGGCGAAGGCGGCCUUCUGGACAGUGACUGACGCUGAGACGCGAAAGCGUGGGGAGCAAACAGG